Molecule: ribosomal RNA, 460 nt
Filed under: uncultured bacterium
Lineage: Bacteria
Description: partial 16S ribosomal RNA
Rfam family: Bacterial small subunit ribosomal RNA
Source: RNAcentral
CCUACGGGAGGCAGCAGUGAGGAAUAUUGGUCAAUGGACGAGAGUCUGAACCAGCCAAGUAGCGUGAAGGAUGACUGCCCUAUGGGUUGUAAACUUCUUUUAUAAAGGAAUAAAACGAGGCACGUGUGCCUUUUUGCAUGUACUUUAUGAAUAAGGAUCGGCUAACUCCGUGCCAGCAGCCGCGGUAAUACGGAGGAUCCGAGCGUUAUCCGGAUUUAUUGGGUUUAAAGGGAGCGUAGAUGGGUUGUUAAGUCAGUUGUGAAAGUUUGCGGCUCAACCGUAAAAUUGCAAUUGAUACUGGCAGUCGUGAGUACAGUUGAGGUAGGCGGAAUUCGUGGUGUAGCGGUGAAAUGCUUAGAUAUCACGAAGAACCCAGAUUGCGAAGGCAGCUUACUAAACUGUGACUGACAUUGAUGCUCGAAAGUGUGGGUAUCAAACAGGAUUAGAUACCCUUGUAGUC